CCUACGGGAGGCAGCAGUGAGGAAUAUUGGUCAAUGGACGAGAGUCUGAACCAGCCAAGUAGCGUGAAGGAUGACUGCCCUAUGGGUUGUAAACUUCUUUUAUAAGGGAAUAAAGUGAGGCACGUGUACCGUUUUGUAUGUACCUUAUGAAUAAGGAUCGGCUAACUCCGUGCCAGCAGCCGCGGUAAUACGGAGGAUCCGAGCGUUAUCCGGAUUUAUUGGGUUUAAAGGGAGCGUAGGUGGCUUGUUAAGUCAGUUGUGAAAGUUUGCGGCUCAACCGUAAAAUUGCAGUUGAAACUGGCAGUCGUGAGUACAGUUGAGGUAGGCGGAAUGCGUGGUGUAGCGGUGAAAUGCUUAGAUAUCACGAAGAACUCCGAUUGCGAAGGCAGCUUACUAAACUGCAACUGACACUGAUGCUCGAAAGUGUGGGUAUCAAACAGGAUUAGAUACCCCAGUAGUC
This 460-nucleotide ribosomal RNA is filed under the name uncultured bacterium. Its description in RNAcentral is "partial 16S ribosomal RNA". It matches the Rfam family "Bacterial small subunit ribosomal RNA", at positions 338 to 795 of the family's 1533-position model. The record is from RNAcentral.